GAUUCCCCUAGUAACUGCGAGUGAAGCGGGAAAAGCUCAAAUUUAAAAUCUGGUAGUCUUUGGCUGCCCGAAUUGUAGUCUAGAGAAGCGUCUUCCGCGCUGGACCGUGUACAAGUCUCUUGGAACAGAGCGUCGUAGAGGGUGAGAAUCCCGUCUUUGACACGGACUACCAGUGCUUUGUGAUGCGCUCUCAAAGAGUCGAGUUGUUUGGGAAUGCAGCUCAAAAUGGGUGGUAAAUUCCAUCUAAAGCUAAAUAUUGGCGAGAGACCGAUAGCGAACAAGUACCGUGAGGGAAAGAUGAAAAGCACUUUGGAAAGAGAGUUAAACAGUACGUGAAAUUGCUGAAAGGGAAACGCUUGAAGUCAGUCGCGUCGUCCAGAACUCAACCUGGCUUUUGCUUGGUGCACUUUCUGAACGACGGGCCAACAUCAGUUUUGACUGUCGGAAAAAGUCCUUAGGAAUGUGGCACCUCCGGGUGUGUUAUAGCCUUUGGUCGUAUACGAUGGUUGGGACUGAGGACCGCAGCACGCCUUAUGGCCGGGGUUCGCCCACGUACGUGCUUAGGAUGU
RNAcentral lists this ribosomal RNA (569 nucleotides) under Mycoacia gilvescens. RNAcentral's name for it is "partial 28S ribosomal RNA". It matches the Rfam family "Eukaryotic large subunit ribosomal RNA", at positions 73 to 626 of the family's 3401-position model. The record is from RNAcentral. Lineage: Eukaryota; Fungi; Basidiomycota; Agaricomycetes; Polyporales; Meruliaceae.